Molecule: long non-coding RNA, 2727 nt
Organism: Crotalus tigris (Tiger rattlesnake)
Lineage: Eukaryota; Metazoa; Chordata; Lepidosauria; Squamata; Viperidae
Exons: 3
Source: RefSeq, a predicted model, not a curated record
AGUGUUGCAUGUUUUCAAGGAACAAAGGCAAUACAUUUCUAUAUAAGAAACUACUGAGAGAAAUUCAAAUUUGUGGCCACCUCUAAUAGCUACAUUUUGCUCACUGGGCUCUCACCCCUGAUUCAAGCAACCACCUUUAUUCCUGGCUCAGAAAUGAACCUGAAUAUUUCUGCAUCAGCCCUUCAUAUAUUGACGUCUUCAGGCAAAGUUCCAAUAAGAAGAAUAGGCACAAUAAAAUGUAACACAAAGAACAAAAAUCUGCACUCUACAAACUGUAUAGUAAAUGACAAAUUGGAGGACAAAACUAAGGAUUGUGACAAAGUCAGCAACUAGAUUCACAUUCAGAACACUAUGACAAUAAAGUCUUUUUCUUGGGUCUUUCCACAGAGAAUUACCAGCAUUAUAUGAUAGUUUGAAACUUUCAAGAUCAUGAAAACAGUAGCUCUCUAUUUUAUUACCUUCAGAGCACUGCCUUGUCUUGUGGCAAAGUGGAAUUCUGCUCUAUUGCCAUAUUUGACAAUUCUCAGACAUAAUAUAUUUAGAGAAUACAUCUAGAGUUAGUAUUGCUAAGUCUGGCUGAGUGAGAUAUGAUUGUAUUUAAUUCCAUCAUGUGACAUUGCUGUAAGUCUAGAUCCACUUUCCUGCUGAUAAUUUAUUGAAGUCAGUGGAUCUAACUACUGAGUACAUAUAUUGGAUUGCAUUUCCCAAAGUGGUUAUUUUGCCACUAAUGUCAGAACCAAAAAGAGCGUAUCAUAAUUUUCCAUUUUCCAUUCAAUUAUUUUACUCAUUAGAAAUACAUAUCUCAUUAUCCUGCCAGAAUGAAGGAUAUUUAAGUCCUAUCAAUUUUAUCAUGAAAGUGAUCUGUGUAAAUCACUCCUAAUGAACUCUGUAGGACCUUGCAAAUCCUUCUCCUUGACUGGAUUGUACCCAGCUGAAUCAAUGAGCACUUGGCAAAAUAAAAGAAAUAAUCACAGUGAAAUGCUGAGUAUAAAGGGCUGCAUUAUUAUUUUGCACAAUCAUUUUUUUUCUGAAGAGAACAGUGAAACAUAAUACUAUUCUUUCAAUAUAUAGUCCAAUGUUUCUCUAUCUGAAGUCACCUUCCAUUAUUCUUACAUGAGCAGGUUAUUUUAAAAUCAUCUCAUGCACUCAGAAAUCAUGUUUUUGAAAAAAAGAAAGAAAGAAAGGAAAUUGAAACUGGCGAGAAAUCAAAUUGUAAAAUGCUGGAUAGGUCAAAGUAGUAGAAGUUGCCAUCCUCUUUCCAAGAUUAUAUGCUAAAGUAUUGCAUAACAUAUAAGAUUUCCCCAACCUUCUUUUUUUUCUCUUAAUAACUUCAAUGCAUCUGCACAAUAUUGCUUUCACAAGUCCUUUUAAAUGAAAUUGCAGAAUCAGACAGAAUUUUCAAAUAUAAUCUCAGCCAAACCAUGCUCUAACGGCUUCAAUGGCCCAAACUUGUAUUUUUUUAGAAUUCCAUGUGCAAAAACGAAGCAGCUGUUAUAAAGAACAGUUUAGCACAAACCAUAUUUUUUUCCAGGAGAACCACCAAAGAGCUGCCAAUUAACUAAGACAGAGAGUACUCUUGUCUGCUUCUGAAGCAGCUACCAUUGCUUCCCUUAAUUAUAAAGCCAGAAGUACAGCAGGGAAUAACACUGCAUUAAAUUUAAAAGUGGCAUCAGCCAACCAUGCAAGUCACUCAACAGACUCCUAGUUUUGCUUUAGAAAAAAGAAAAAGAAAAGAAUACCAUCUGCAUGGAAGUUGAUCUUUGAAAGACCCAGAACUGUAAACUCAUCAACUAGGCAACAUUAAUCACCUUGACUUUGUUUGAAAUGGUGACACUGGAAGAGUCUGAAGUAAGCCUGGAGAGGCAAAAGCUAAGGCUAAGGAAACAAACAAGCUUCACUUCAGCCAUAAUGGCCCAGUGGAAGACAGAGAAAUCUUCUGCACAGAUUGGCAGUCUCCAGGAUAAUGCUUUCAACAAGGAAAUGUUAAACCAGGACCUGUUGCCCUCUUCAAUGAUUUUCUGGAAUUAGAGAAACACCAGCUUACCCUUUCAUAACUAAAAGGAAGUUCAAAUUUGCAUUUCUGAAUACAUUUCUUUAUGUGAGGCUCCAUAGGAUAUUCUGGGAUAUUCUGAUCCAAGGGCUGCAGUUUUCACACUCCCCUUAGUCAAAUAAAUCGGUUUUGUAUUCCAACAUAUCACUUUCUCUAAAAAGUAAAGCAAAGAAAAUCUCUUCCAUUUAUAAACAGAUAUUUAAAGCCUCAACACUCAGUUAUGGUCAAAAAGAAAUUCCAUUAAUAGCUACCAGAAACCACAACACAUAUAUUUUAAUUCUGGUCAGAUAAGUUCAGUUUAUAUUUCUUCUACUGACUUUUAUAAAGUGUAAUCUUUAAUCCCACCAAAUGAUGUCCCACAAGUUGAUUUAUCAUUUUCUAUUUGUCUUCUUUUAGGAAAAACUUCAGUAGUUUAACACAUCCUCUUUGUAAAUCCAAGAUAAGAAGGCUUUCCAAAUCAUUACUCUGAUUUAUUAUUUGUGUGUCCUGUUUAGUUAUUAAGACAGCGGUCAUUCAUAUGUAAAUCCAUUGUGGCAUACUUUUCCAUAUCAUUCUUGUAGUCAGGCAUUCUUAAAUCCAUUUUCAAAUCCAUAGCAUCUUUUUUCCAUUUCAUUCUUGUAGCCUGGCAUUUUUUUUUAAAAAAAAAAAUCCAUUUUCAAAUCCACGUUCAAAUCAGC